This 253-nucleotide ribosomal RNA is filed under the name uncultured bacterium. RNAcentral describes it as "partial 16S ribosomal RNA". It matches the Rfam family "Bacterial small subunit ribosomal RNA", at positions 524 to 776 of the family's 1533-position model. The record is from RNAcentral.
UACGUGGGGGGCAAGCGUUGUUCGGAAUUACUGGGCGUAAAGGGCUCGUAGGUUGCCAACUAAGUCGGACGUGAAAUCCCUCAGCUUAACUGGGGAACUGCGUCCGAUACUGGAUGGCUUGAGUUUGGGAGAGGGAUGCGGAAUUCCAGGUGUAGCGGUGAAAUGCGUAGAUAUCUGGAGGAACACCGGUGGCGAAGGCGGCAUCCUGGACCGGUAUUGACGCUGAGGCGCGAAAGCCAGGGGAGCAAACGGG